This 253-nucleotide ribosomal RNA is filed under the name uncultured bacterium. Its description in RNAcentral is "partial 16S ribosomal RNA". It matches the Rfam family "Bacterial small subunit ribosomal RNA", at positions 524 to 776 of the family's 1533-position model. The record is from RNAcentral.
UACGGAGGGUGCGAGCGUUGUCCGGAAUCACUGGGCGUAAAGGGCGCGUAGGCGGCGCGGGAAGUCGGCGGUGAAAGCCCGGAGCUCAACUCCGGGUCGGCCGUUGAUACUCCCGUGCUCGAGUCGACUAGAGGCCAAUGGAAUUCCGGGUGUAGCGGUGGAAUGCGUAGAGAUCCGGAAGAACACCGGUGGCGAAGGCGGUUGGCUGGGGUCGAACUGACGCUGAUGCGCGACAGCGUGGGGAGCAAACAGG